UAUAUUGAGUACAAAGUUCAG
RNAcentral lists this non-coding RNA (21 nucleotides) under Caenorhabditis elegans. The record is from RNAcentral. Lineage: Eukaryota; Metazoa; Nematoda; Chromadorea; Rhabditida; Rhabditidae.